AUAACGCAGCGAAAGCUGUGCUAAUACCGCAUGUGAUCUGAGGAUGAAAGCGGGGGACUAGGCAGCGAUGCUUGGCCUCGCGCCUUUGGAGCGGCCGAUGUCGGAUUAGCUAGUUGGUGGGGUAAAGGCCUACCAAGGCGACGAUCCGUAGCUGGUCUGAGAGGACGGCCAGCCACACUGGGACUGAGACACGGCCCAGACUCCUACGGGAGGCAGCAGUGGGGAAUUUUGGACAAUGGGCGCAAGCCUGAUCCAGCAAUGCCGCGUGCGGGAAGAAGGCCUUCGGGUUGUAAACCGCUUUUGGCAGGAACGAAAAGCUCUGGGCGAAUACCCUGGGGUGAUGACGGUACCUGCAGAAUAAGCACCGGCUAACUACGUGCCAGCAGCCGCGGUAAUACGUAGGGUGCGAGCGUUAAUCGGAAUUACUGGGCGUAAAGCGUGCGCAGGCGGUUGUGUAAGACAGGCGUGAAAUCCCCGGGCUUAACCUGGGAAUGGCGCUUGUGACUGCACGGCUGGAGUGCGGCAGAGGGGGAUGGAAUUCCGCGUGUAGCAGUGAAAUGCGUAGAUAUGCGGAGGAACACCGAUGG
RNAcentral lists this ribosomal RNA (587 nucleotides) under Tepidimonas taiwanensis. RNAcentral describes it as "bacterial SSU rRNA". It matches the Rfam family "Bacterial small subunit ribosomal RNA", at positions 143 to 715 of the family's 1533-position model. The record is from RNAcentral. Lineage: Bacteria; Pseudomonadati; Pseudomonadota; Betaproteobacteria; Burkholderiales.